AGAGCACCGGCUUCAACACCAGGAUUGGUCGCAAGUAGGAAGCUUUCGCCACUACACUGGGACCGUCGGACUGUGCCAGCGCCGCACCCGAAGCGGUAGCGGGCUCCGCGCUCAGGUGCUCAGGUGAUAUGCAAUUGAACUUGAGAUGAAUAACAUGUUUGGGGGAAUUGUUGACAUAUAGUAACUCCACAGCAUGUGGCCCCAGGAACUGCCCUAAAUGAUUAAAGGUUGAAUACAACUUAAAAGAAACAGCUAUUUUAUUCACCUGUUAUUGGACUUGAAACUCCUUUGACCUCAGAAACUGAAGAUGAGGUUGCCAUGGGAACUGCUGGUGCUGCAGUCAUUCAU
This is a long non-coding RNA of Eubalaena glacialis (North Atlantic right whale), 348 nucleotides long. RefSeq lists it as uncharacterized. The record is from RefSeq and is a predicted model, not a curated record. Lineage: Eukaryota; Metazoa; Chordata; Mammalia; Artiodactyla; Balaenidae. The transcript is spliced from 4 exons.